Molecule: ribosomal RNA, 449 nt
Filed under: uncultured bacterium
Lineage: Bacteria
Description: partial 16S ribosomal RNA
Rfam family: Bacterial small subunit ribosomal RNA
Source: RNAcentral
AACGAACGCUGGCGGCAUGCCUAACACAUGCAAGUCGAACGAGACCUUCGGGUCUAGUGGCGCGCGGGUGCGUAACGCGUGGGAAUCUACCCUUGGGUUCGGAAUAACAGUUAGAAAUGACUGCUAAUACCGGAUGAUGACGUAAGUCCAAAGAUUUAUCGCCCAAGGAUGAGCCCGCGUAAGAUUAGCUUGUUGGUGGGGUAAUGGCCUACCAAGGCGACGAUCUUUAGCUGGUCUGAGAGGAUGAUCAGCCACACUGGGACUGAGGCACGGCCCAGACUCCUACGGGAGGCAGCAGUGGGGAAUAUUGGACAAUGGGCGAAAGCCUGAUCCAGCAAUGCCGCGUGAGUGAUGAAGGCCUUAGGGUUGUAAAGCUCUUUUACCAGGGAUGAUAAUGACAGUACCUGGAGAAUAAGCUCCGGCUAACUCCGUGCCAGCAGCCGCAGUAA